Molecule: ribosomal RNA, 511 nt
Filed under: uncultured bacterium
Lineage: Bacteria
Description: bacterial SSU rRNA
Rfam family: Bacterial small subunit ribosomal RNA
Source: RNAcentral
GAUCAUGGCUCAGGAUGAACGCUAGCUACAGGCUUAACACAUGCAAGUCGAGGGGCAGCAUGAGAUUAGCUUGCUAAUCUGAUGGCGACCGGCGCACGGGUGAGUAACGCGUAUCCAACCUUCCCCCUACUCAGGCAUAGCCCGGUGAAAACCGGAUUAACUCCUGAUAGUUUCACUAGAUGGCAUCUGACGGUGAAUAAAGCUUUGCGGUAAGGGAUGGGGAUGCGUCUGAUUAGCUUGUUGGCGGGUAACGGCCCACCAAGGCGACGAUCAGUAGGGGUUCUGAGAGGAAGGUCCCCCACAUUGGAACUGAGACACGGUCCAAACUCCUACGGGAGGCAGCAGUGAGGAAUAUUGGUCAAUGGGCGCGAGCCUGAACCAGCCAAGUAGCGUGCAGGACGACGGCCCUAUGGGUUGUAAACUGCUUUUGUGCGGGAAUAAAGUCAGGGACGUGUCCCUGUUUGCAUGUACCGCAAGAAUAAGGACCGGCUAAUUCCGUGCCAGCCGCAGC